CUGAAUGCUGAUUAGCUGACAGCCGUGAUAUAUCAGACUGUAUAUGGGUAUGACAAAACAUUUGUUUUUACCAAUUACAUUGGUAACCAGUUUAUAAUGGCAAUAAGGCACCUCCGGGGUUCGUGGUAUAUUGCCAAUAUACCACGGCUAAGGGCUGUGUGCAGGCACCCCGCGUUGCAUCGUGCUUAAGAACAGCCCUUGGCCGUGGUAUAUUGGCCAUAUACCAAACCUCCUCGGGCCUUAUUGCGUAAAUAAAUAUAUGACCCCACAGACUAUUUUAGCUAGCCUGCUGCGCUUCCAGUAAGACUCACUCAAGGUCCGAAAUAACAUUGGCCCGUGUUUCCCGUGUGCAUUUGGUAUCUGCCUUGUACAAAGGCGUCAAGCAUAACACAAUAAUUGUUUUUCCCCUACAAAAACACGCUUCAGUACAAUCUGUCAAAUCAAAUUGUAUUUGUCACAUGCGCCGAAUACAACAGGUAUAGACUUACCGUGAAAUGCUUACUUACAAGCACUGUGCAGAGUGCAGUCUAGAUCAGUUAAAUGCAGAUAUUGUUUGUGUGAAAUGUUGUUUCAAAGUGUGAACUUUCAGGAUGCUUGACACUUUACAGUCCAGAACUUUUACUCUCUGGUCAAAACAUAUCCCAGAUGAUGGUCCUGCAUGCGUAGGUACACCAAAACAUAUCCCAGAUGAUGGUCCUGCAUGCGUAGGUACACCAAAACAUAUCCCAGAUGAUGGUCCUGCAUGCGUAGGUACACCAAAACAUAUCCCAGAUGAUGGUCCUGCAUGCGUAGGUACACCAAAACAUAUCCCAGAUGAUGGUCCUGCAUGCGUAGGUACACCAAAACAUAUCCCAGAUGAUGGUCCUGCGUGCGUAGGUACACCAAAACAUAUCCCAGAUGAUGGUCCUGCAUGCGUAGGUACACCAAAACAUAUCCCAGAUGAUGGUCCUGCAUGCGUAGGUACACCAAAACAUAUCCCAGAUGAUGGUCCUGCAUGCGUAGGUACACCAACACAUAUCCCAGAUGAUGGUCCUGCAUGCGUAGGUACACCAACACAUAUCCCAGAUGAUGGUCCUGCAUGCGUAGGUACACCAAAACAUAUCCCAGAUGAUGGUCCUGCAUGCGUAGGUACACCAAAACAUAUCCCAGAUGAUGGUCCUGCAUGCGUAGGUACACCAAAACAUAUCCCAGAUGAUGGUCCUGCAUGCGUAGGUACACCAACACAUAUCCCAGAUGAUGGUCCUGCAUGCGUAGGUACACCGCAAGUACAACUAUCUGGCCUUAAUGUAGCAUUUAGGUGCCCUAAUACUAGUUGACUUACUGAACCACUACAUGAUACCUGUAUGUAGUUGUUGCUCUUAGUAUAACUAUUGACCUAAUGUACUCUCUGAACAGUGUCGUAGAUGAAUGAAGACAAUAUUAUAACACAGAAAAACGGUUACAGGAACAGAGAAUCCCUUUUGACUUGAGGGGGGAACAAUUUUAGAAGUGCAGAUAUUUUGGUUAUAUAGACUAGAGAAUAUAGUUACAUCAGAUAUUGUCCCUCUGGCUAAACUGGGGAGAUUCUAACAGCUGUGUUAGGUUCUAAAGUUCCCCUUGCCACUUUUCAGUAUUACUUCUUUCUGGUUUCAAAACACCUUUAUUCUUUCUGCCUUGUACCCUGAGAAUGCCUUAUGUGUUUUGGUGCAUUCUCAAAAGUAGCUGUAGCUACCACUGUCUACCGACAGUCAGUCAGUCAGUCUGUCUGUCUGUCUUGUCUGUUGCAGUUGGAUUGAGACACAGGGAUAACAGAGAUCCAUCCAGAGGAGCCAUCUUGUGCAGUUGGUGCUCUGACAGAGCUGUCUUUGUUUUCCCGUGCUUCCGUAAUGAGAAGGUCUAGUUUGGUCUGUAGGAAGAGGCCUCCUACACGCUACUGUAAUGACAGAAGAGAAGAGCUCUACUUCUAGAUGUGCUUCAGGCCAGGGCCCUUAAUAGAAGGGGACAGAAAGAAAAAGACAAAUAAAGAAAAGGUCCUAGCAUGAAACAAUAUUGCUGUUAUAGUGUGCAGGCUUGUGGUGACCAUGUGAUUCUGUAAUGGUGUCGAGUCGGUUCCAGUUGGCAUGGUUACGCAGCCGAGUGGCACGGCAGAGGGGUGUGUUGAUGUCAAGUGGUUGAAGCACAUGCUCAGUGUGUCCCUGUCGACAGCAGGGCCAGACUCAUUCCUACGGUAUAACAUCCACCCUCCAUGUCUUCUACCACACCUUCUUCUCUCAGUCCUUCCCCAAAGGGUCCCAUUGAGUGUGUCACAGUGGGCCAGCGUGUCAAGGAGGGUAGAGAGGGAUACGACUCUCAUUCCUCUUCUUGAAAGCCAUAAUGUUUAACUACUUCCUGAUCUGUCGCUAUGUUUAGUCCUAGAGAGCUUUAAGUAGGAGCCUAAUGGUCGCCAUUUAUACCCUUGACCGAUCAGGUCCUUAUUUCCCUUAUGUCAUAACUGACCUUUUGAUCCCAAGUCUUCUGAUUGGUUGGCUCAGCAUACGUUGUAGAAUGCUCUGAGAGGAACAUCAUCACCCCGUCAACACAGUCUCAAAGAUAAGAUUGAGAAUGCCUAUUUCUGUAACUUAAUUUGGUCAUUCUUCUUCCCCCACUAAAGCUUUCCAUGCUUUUCUAUGCAACACAGUUGUGCCCUACUCAUGGAAGAUACGUCUCAUUGGUACAUAGUCGUGGACAAUGUGCUGUUGGCCUUCAUGGACCCCUCUCAUUAUGAUCAUAUGUUAAGCCAGCUGUAAAGUGUACUUGAUAUCCCAAGCACUUGUCUUGCUGAACAAAGCUCUUGAAGUAUUUGUCUUCCCAUUUCUAAAUGAUUGAAAGCCAUGCCCCAUAAAGGUCAUGUACCCUUGUGUUAUAUUUGUCAAGCGUUUCGAAGUACAUUCGGCAGCAUUUCUAGCCUGGUUCCAGAUCUGUUCAGGCUUGUUCUGACUCCAUUGCUGUCAUUGUCAAGCCAAACAUGUUUGGCAUGAUGAUGAGUGUAAAGGAGUUGGCAUGAUGAUGAGUGUAAAGGAGUUAGCAUGAUGCACAAACAGACUGGCAACAGCAACCCCACAAAGUAUGUACAUGACAUCAAUCCAACAGUCCCGGGACAUGAGAAAUGUCACUCCAAAUCAAUUCUCCCACCCAGAUAAGAACAACAUACUUUUUAUACAUUUAAUCUCUUGAAAUGAUGAACAAACAAUAAACUAACUACUAUUUGAGGACCUGUAGGGAAAAGAAAGAGAUGAAUUUAAUCAAUUCCUGUUUGACAGUGAGAGUCCUUGAUUUAAAGGAUUUAGAAUAUUCAGGGGUGGAAAUAUUUUUAGAUUAACGAGAUCUUAACAGAAGCUCAACGUAUUUACCUCUGAGAAGUUCUCACCCAAACCCCCCAAAAAUAGUGACCUAUACUUAUUGAAAAGGGUUGCGAUUUAUUAAUAAUGCAUUAUUAUUUUCCGGUUGUCUAGCUUUGGCUUACAAUAAUAUGGUAUGUAGAUUGAACAAAAAACUUGCCCUCGAAUUGACUGUACGGUCAACAGGAUAGCAUAUGGUCAUGUAGCAGCAAUACUCUUAUUGUGUAUUACAAAGUGCCUGCUUUUGUGACUUCAAUUCCCAUGGUCCUGAACAUUUGGUGUGAUCUCCAUCUCUUUGAUGAAACUAGGACCAUAUAGAUAGUUGGGUAUGUAGAUGAGUGAGUGUUCCUCCUGGAGGAAUGGAACAGUACGGGAGAGUAGGCCCAACUGUGUUUGCUGAAAGGAGAGAGUGAGUCUGCCUUGGGUUCAUAGGUAUAUCCCUUUCUGUAUCCCUCCGCCCCUCUACAGGGGUCAACACAGGGUUAUGCGUUAUACCCGCGCAGCCUAGCAGAUGUUAGAAUGCCAGUCACACUUAGUAUUUACUGUCACAGGCUCACUCUCAACACAUUCUGACUGGGAAGGGCAAACCUGUUUGUGUCUCUUUCUCACUACAGCAGCAUUCUCUGUAACACAGGCCAGGUUAGUGGAGCAGUACUAACCUGGCCUACAGUACUGUAUUUGAAAAAGCAGGCCAAGCUAUGCUUCCAGUGCUGACAGCUCGCAUGCUUUGAUGCUCGAUGCUCUCUGGUGUGCCUCCUCUUUCUUGUAAGCAGUCUUGAGGAGAUUUGUCUCUGUGUUGCCAUCUCUUUCUGACUUCCUAAAUCUCAGUUUUAAGGCUCUUUUUACUAGCUUUUUUUAAUUUAUGCAUUUUUAUUGUAUUUAUAUUUUAGAAACGCUGAAACUGUAGUUUCAUUGAUGAAAUGACAUUGUAAACAGCGGGAUGUGUUUCCCGCUCAUUACCAUCUGUUCAGUUAAUGUUCUUCAUUAUUUCAUCAGGGUGGUCUUAAACACGAACUGCUUCCCAAAUGGCACCCUAUGCCCUUUUAUAGUGUUCUACUUUUGACCAGAGCCUUAUGAGCCCAGAAGUUCCCAAAGUAGUGCACUAUAUAGGGAAUAGGGUGCCGUGUGGAACGCGGCAACUAUCACACCAGGCAGACAAUGGUCGUGUCCGAAAUCUGUUUUGCCUGCUACUUACUAAAAUGACAUACUGCGUACUAAUCAUUCUACAGUACAUACAUACUAUUUAGAAUGUACUGUGUAGUAAAAAUGUAUGCAGUUAGUGAACAACAAAUAUCUGAGAAUGCGUCAUGUAAUGCACAAUUGUUUGUUAGAGUCCGCCCCCUUUUUCUGAUUAUCUGCUGUUGUCAAAAACAUGUGGCUCUGAAAAGACAAUUCUCGUCUUCAAUAGCAUGCAGCUAUUCAUACUAGAUUAAAAGCCGAAAUGAAUACGACAUCCCUGCAUUUAAAGCAAACAACAUUUUCGAAAUGCCACAUACUAUAAAACGUUCUAUUUUUGCAUACCAAAUCAGCCUACUAUUUAGAACGCAAGUACAAAUAUUCGGACACAGCCAAUAUGUCUCCUGCUACCAGUAGAACCUCUACUGUAGAAGGAAUUCUGAAAUCUGUCUGGUGGUUCAUGGCCAGAUUUAGGAUAAUAGAAAAAAACGUCUGUCACUCAGAGUAAGUUAACCAGUUAUCUUAUAGGUGGGAAGGGUUCAGUUUGGGGUCCAUAAUCUUUCGCUUUGUUGUAGUCUAAUAUUACUGCUGUAAACGUACAACUCCAUAACACGAGUAUAUUCAAUAUGCAGUACUGUAUGACUUACUGUACUGUCCUGUUCAAGUCCUUCACCUCGCUAGCCAUCACAUUGACUGUACUGUAGAACUUAUUUUUCUCACCUAGGACAGGAAACUAAAAUGGAGAGAGUCUGCUUUGAGGAUCGGUUUCCUUGUGUGUUUGUGUUAGAUCUUCCUGCCAAUUCUGUUUUACUUCCAUGUUUGCUAUACUGCUAUUUAGUUUGUGCAAUACAAUAACGAUUGAAAACAUACUGUUGUACACAAUGCUAAUUAUUUAUAUGUAUAUGACAUACAAUAUCUAUAUCUGUGUGUAAUUGUCACGGAAUUCUUGAGCUUGUCAAAAAAAGAGAAAGCUCAAUCUGAAAUGCACUUUAAAUGAUUGUGUUGAGAGACUUGGAACAUGAAGGAAUGAACUUGAAAACGUAUUGAACUGCUUUCUGUUUAGAUCUGGCUCCUUUUUGCUGUGAUAUCUGAGGCUACGGAGUGGCUGAGCGCUCAAAUAAAGACUGCACCAAAUCUA
Salmo salar (Atlantic salmon) is the source of this 5670-nucleotide non-coding RNA. NCBI's taxonomy places the organism in Eukaryota, Metazoa, Chordata, Actinopteri, Salmoniformes, Salmonidae. The record is from RefSeq and is a predicted model, not a curated record.